This 392-nucleotide ribosomal RNA is filed under the name uncultured bacterium. RNAcentral's name for it is "partial 16S ribosomal RNA". It matches the Rfam family "Bacterial small subunit ribosomal RNA", at positions 523 to 918 of the family's 1533-position model. The record is from RNAcentral.
AUACGGAGGAUCCGAGCGUUAUCCGGAUUUAUUGGGUUUAAAGGGUGCGCAGGCGGCCAUUUAAGUCAGCGGUUAAAUCGUGGGGCUCAACCCCAUUCUGCCGUUGAUACUGGGUGGCUUGAUUGCGGUCGAGGUUGGCGGAAUUCGUUGUGUAGCGGUGAAAUGCAUAGAUAUGACGAAGAACACCGAUUGCGUAGGCAGCUGACCAGAUCGCAAAUGACGCUCAUGCACGAAAGUGCGGGGAUCGAACAGGAUUCGAUACCCUGGUAGUCCGCACAGUAAACGAUGAAUACUUGUUUUCGGCGAUAUAAUGUCGGAGGCAAAGCGAAAGCGAUAAGUAUUCCACCUGGGGAGUACGCCGGCAACGGUGAAACUCAAAGGAAUUGACGGGG